This 809-nucleotide long non-coding RNA is filed under the name Daucus carota (carrot). RNAcentral describes it as "long non-coding RNA (DCAR_LNC003449)". The record is from RNAcentral. Lineage: Eukaryota; Viridiplantae; Streptophyta; Magnoliopsida; Apiales; Apiaceae.
UCUUCCCCUGUCCUUCAUGCGUAACUCGUAAGGUAGAUGAACAACUGUUUAAAUUUUGAUUUGUCAUCAUAUCUAUCGGGUUAUGCAUAAUAUGUAUUGGGCUUCUUCUACUCUGUUUUGGCGAUUGUGUGUUUCUUGGUUCAGAUUCUAUGCUCAGAUUUUUUGUUUGUUUUUCAUCAAAUUCAAGUAUGUACUCUAACUGUUUGAUAAUAUCACUCAAACAAAAACCGUCCAUAUUUAUCAUUCCAUUUUGCAAUCGCAAAAUCUCUAAAUAUUGGAAUCUUUCUAUUUUGGCAGAAUUGUGAAAUUAAAACCUCAGGCUAAGAAGUCCGCCAUGAAGGGUCGAUGCAACUCAAAAAGAUAGCAGGACCCCUUUGAAAGUCAUACUUGCAUUAUGAGAAGUAGGGGAGAGCGUGGGCCGGUUCGGCUCGGUUUUUCGAUAAAACCGGAACCGCAACCAUAUAUCCUCGGUUUUUGAAAUCGAAAACCGCAACCGCCGGUUCGGAUUCGGUUUCGGUUUAAAAAUCCCGGUUCGGUUAUAAUCGGCUCGGUUUCGGUUACAAAACCGACUACAAAAUUCACUUGGUACUUAUUGCCCAGACAUCAGUCGAAAGAAUUAUUUUAGGAUUUCACACCAUAUAAUCAGAGAGUGCUCCAGUUUAAGAAUUUUCAGGGGCAAUCUGUGUCCUGUGAUUAUUACCUCUCUAAUGUGUAGUGUGCCAAGCAUCAUGACUUGGGUAAUAUUAGCAACAGUAGAAGAUAAAGAUUUCUGACAGAACACAAAAGAGCUGCAUAUAAGAAUUCAUGUG